This 253-nucleotide ribosomal RNA is filed under the name uncultured bacterium. Its description in RNAcentral is "partial 16S ribosomal RNA". It matches the Rfam family "Bacterial small subunit ribosomal RNA", at positions 524 to 776 of the family's 1533-position model. The record is from RNAcentral.
GCCGGGAGAGGCAAGCGUUCUCCGGAAUUAUUGGGCGUAAAGCGUCCGCAGGUGGCGAUUCAAGUCUGCUGUCAAAGGUCGGGGCUUAACCCCGGGAAGGCAGUGGAAACUGAAUAGCUAGAGUGCGGUAGGGGCAGAGGGAAUUCCCGGUGUAGCGGUGAAAUGCGUAGAGAUCGGGAAGAACACCAGUGGCGAAAGCGCUCUGCUGGGCCUGCACUGACACUGAGGGACGAAAGCUAGGGGAGCGAAAGGG